RNAcentral lists this ribosomal RNA (443 nucleotides) under uncultured bacterium. Its description in RNAcentral is "partial 16S ribosomal RNA". It matches the Rfam family "Bacterial small subunit ribosomal RNA", at positions 338 to 795 of the family's 1533-position model. The record is from RNAcentral.
CCUACGGGAGGCAGCAGUGGGGAAUAUUGGGCAAUGGGCGCAAGCCUGACCCAGCAACGCCGCGUGAAGGAAGAAGGCUUUCGGGUUGUAAACUUCUUUUGUCAGGGACGAAACAAGUGACGGUACCUGACGAAUAAGCCACGGCUAACUACGUGCCAGCAGCCGCGGUAAUACGGAGGGGGCAAUCGUUAUCCGGAUUUAUUGGGUGUAAAGGGCGUGUAGGCGGGAAUGCAAGUCAGAUGUGAAAGUUAGGGGCUCAACCCAUAGCCUGCAUUUGAAACUGUAUGUCUUGAGUGCUGGAGAGGCAAGCGGAAUUCCGUGUGUAGCGGUGAAAUGCGUAGAUAUACGGAGGAACACCAAUGGCGAAGGCGGAUUGCUGGACAGUAACUGACGCUGAGGCGCGAAAGCGUGGGGAGCAAACAGGAUUAGAUACCCUUGUAGUC